RNAcentral lists this ribosomal RNA (305 nucleotides) under uncultured bacterium. RNAcentral's name for it is "bacterial SSU rRNA". It matches the Rfam family "Bacterial small subunit ribosomal RNA", at positions 338 to 635 of the family's 1533-position model. The record is from RNAcentral.
CCUACGGGAGGCAGCAGUAGGGAAUUUUCGUCAAUGGGCGCAAGCCUGAACGAGCAAUGCCGCGUGAACGAGGAAGGUCUUCGGAUCGUAAAGUUCUGUUGACGGGGAAAAAAGACCGGGAAAGGAAAUGAUCCCGGAGGAGAUAUUACCCGUCGAGGAAGUCACGGCUAACUACGUGCCAGCAGCCGCGGUAAUACGUAGGUGGCGAGCGUUAUCCGGAAUGAUUGGGCGUAAAGGGUGCGUAGGCGGUCGAUUAAGUCUGGAGUGAAAGGUACCGGCUCAACCGGUAUAGGCUCCGGAAACUG